AACACCGGCGGCCCGAGUGGUGAUCGUGAUUAUUGGGUCUAAAGGGUCCGUAGCCGGUUUGGUCAGUCCUCCGGGAAAUCUGAUAGCUCAACUAUUAGGCUUUCGGGGGAUACUGCCAGACUUGGAACCGGGAGAGGUAAGAGGUACUACAGGGGUAGGAGUGAAAUCUUGUAAUCCCUGUGGGACCACCUGUGGCGAAGGCGUCUUACCAGAACGGGUUCGACGGUGAGGGACGAAAGCUGGGGGCACGAACCGGAUUAGAUACCCGGGUAGUCCCAGCCGUAAACGAUGCUCGCUAGGUGUCAGGCAUGGCGCGACCGUGUCUGGUGCCGCAGGGAAGCCGUGAAGCGAGCCACCUGGGAAGUACGGCCGCAAGGCUGAAACUUAAAGGAAUUGGCGGGGGAGCACAACAACGGGUGGAAGCCUGCGGUUUAAUUGGACUCAACGCCGGACAACUCACCGGGGGCGACAGCAAUAUGUAGGCCAAGCUGAAGACUUUGCCUGAAUCGCUGAGAGGAGGUGCAUGG
Molecule: ribosomal RNA, 527 nt
Filed under: uncultured archaeon
Lineage: Archaea
Description: bacterial SSU rRNA
Rfam family: Archaeal small subunit ribosomal RNA
Source: RNAcentral